Molecule: long non-coding RNA, 1328 nt
Organism: Ostrinia nubilalis (European corn borer)
Lineage: Eukaryota; Metazoa; Arthropoda; Insecta; Lepidoptera; Crambidae
Exons: 2
Source: RefSeq, a predicted model, not a curated record
ACAUUGAAAGCCGUGUCGUGGGGUUGAGCCCUAAAUACUAGAUUUUCUAUAGUGUCUAGUUUCUGAGCAAUUAGAGACGUAAAAGCUAGCUUUGAUAAUAUUAAACUAUUCAACAUAAUAUUAAUGCAGUUAUUAUUGUGUUAAAAAAUCCUUUUGUCCCUACUCAUAACCCUUUAACAAUUUAUGCACUUUUGCGCACUUUAUUAACAUAAAAUUAAAAAGCAAAAUAUACCAUAACAUACCUACUUAUAAAUGUCAAAAACAUUAUAUCAAAUAAAUACGCAAAAAACACGUUCAACGAUAUAAUUAUUUAUUAUUAUAUUUAGUGAUGGAGCAAGAUAAUCAAGUCGCAGGCGCAGUAACAUAGUUUACUAGUUACCCCGCCAGGUGGCGCUGUAUUUGGACUACCAUUCAUGCAUAUAAAGAUCAUGCCAGCGUUUUAAUUCAGCAAAUUUACGGAAGAUGGAGCUUAUGAUAUUCUACGCAGCUACGUUAUAGUAUGUUAUAAUAAUAUGAAAAUCAUGAAGUAGCGCCACGACGAUACACAUUGUUUGGAUGCUCUCUAAAAACUUUAUCAGAAUGUUAUUCUUAUUAGAGUAGGCGCACACCGUUGAUUUUUCGUCGGCCGAUAGUUUAGUCGGGCAGUUGAUCAGUAUGGGCAUGUAUGGGAGUGCGCACACUACGCCGAUUCGAUUUGGCCGAUUCUUCAUACAAAUUAAAAUCGGGCACAACUAUCGGCCAACUAAAAAUCAACGGUGUGCGCCUACUCUUAGUCUCUGUCAAACAAAAAUAAUUGAUUCUACUGCUCAAUGCAUCAACUUAUUUAUGGGACUAAAUACUGAAGUUGAAAUAAUUGAAAGAAAUAUACACAGGGUGGAAUUUUGUAAUGCCACCUGGGGGGAAGAGUACCUACUCUUAAUACUGUAGAUAGAAAAUUUUACUCAAAGCAAACAUUCCUUUAUUUUUUAAAAGAAAUAGAACGGCAUUCAAAGAUUUCAAAAAAUUUACUAUUGUAUUUUAAAUCGUAUACCUGUAUGGAAGUUACUCAUUACUACUCGUAUCAACGUGAAUAUGAAAUCAUUGAUUAUUAAUAUUCUGAUUAAUGUAGAAAGUAAGCGUCUAUUGGUAAAUAAUGAUAGCUAAAACAACGAGUAUGAUAUAAAAUCAUAAAUGUAGGUACUAAUAAAACGAUAUCAUUAAGCCUUACAAACUAUUCAAACUAAAAAAGAAGGGUAUAAAGAAUAAUAACCACAAUUUGAGAUGCCAGAAUUUAAUAAAAUAAAAAAACAAAAUAAAGAUGUAUCCAAUAAAAAAAUAAAUGUGAAAAA